GACGAACGCUGGCGGCGUGCCUAAUACAUGCAAGUUGAGCGCUGAAGGUUGGUACUUGUACCGACUGGAUGAGCAGCGAACGGGUGAGUAACGCGUGGGGAAUCUGCCUUUGAGCGGGGGACAACAUUUGGAAACGAAUGCUAAUACCGCAUAAAAACUUUAAACACAAGUUUUAAGUUUGAAAGAUGCAAUUGCAUCACUCAAAGAUGAUCCCGCGUUGUAUUAGCUAGUUGGUGAGGUAAAGGCUCACCAAGGCGAUGAUACAUAGCCGACCUGAGAGGGUGAUCGGCCACAUUGGGACUGAGACACGGCCCAAACGCCUACGGGAGGCAGCAGUAGGGAAACUUCGGCAAUGGACGAAAGUCUGACCGAGCAACGCCGCGGGAGUGAAGAAGGUUUUCGGAUCGUAAAACUCUGUUGGUAGAGAAGAACGUUGGUGAGAGUGGAAAGCUCAUCAAGUGACGGUAACUACCCAGAAAGGGACGGCUAACUACGUG
RNAcentral lists this ribosomal RNA (497 nucleotides) under uncultured bacterium. RNAcentral describes it as "partial 16S ribosomal RNA". It matches the Rfam family "Bacterial small subunit ribosomal RNA", at positions 28 to 507 of the family's 1533-position model. The record is from RNAcentral.